GCCUUCGUGGUGUAAAUGGAAGCAUACUCAACUCGUAUUCGGGAGAUCCGGAGUUCGAAUUCCGGCGAGGGCA
Molecule: non-coding RNA, 73 nt
Organism: Stegodyphus mimosarum
Lineage: Eukaryota; Metazoa; Arthropoda; Arachnida; Araneae; Eresidae
Source: Rfam